UAUUAAAGGUCCCGCCUGCCCAGUGAAUUUUUUUAACGGCCGCGGUAUUCUAACCGUGCAAAGGUAGCGUAAUCACUUGUCUUCUAAAUAAAGACCAGUAUGAACGGCUAAAUGAGGACAAACCUGUCUCUUUCAACUAAUCAGUGAAACUGAUCUACCAGUACAAAAGCUGGUAUUUUAACAUAAGACGAGAAGACCCUGUGGAGCUUAAAACAAACCACUAACACACACUAGUGAUAAGUCUUAAGUUGGGGCGACUUCGGAACAAAACAAAACUUCCGAGCACGGAUCCAUAACAUCCCACCAAGGCCCACAAGCCAAAGUACUUCACCCUGACCCGGCACCAUGCCGAACAACGAACCAAGUUACCCCAGGGAUAACAGCGCCAUCUUCUUCAAGAGUCCAUAUCGACAAGAAGGUUUACGACCUCGAUGUUGGAUCAGGACACCCAAGUGGUGCAGCCGCUACUAAUGGUUCGUUUGUUCAACGAUUAACAGUCCUACGUGAUCUGAGUUCAGACCGGAG
RNAcentral lists this ribosomal RNA (525 nucleotides) under Eutropis longicaudata (Long-tailed sun skink). RNAcentral's name for it is "partial 16S ribosomal RNA". It matches the Rfam family "Bacterial large subunit ribosomal RNA", at positions 1844 to 2621 of the family's 2925-position model. Lineage: Eukaryota; Metazoa; Chordata; Lepidosauria; Squamata; Scincidae. The record is from RNAcentral.